GCGGCAGGCCUAAUACAUGCAAGUCGAACGGGAAAUCAGGCGCUUGCGCUUGAUGGAGAGUGGCGAACGGGUGCGUAACACGUAUGCAACCUACCUCUGACAGGGAGAUAGCCCGGAGAAAUUCGGAUUAAUAUCCCAUAAUAUAAAGAUGUGGCAUCACAAUUUUAUCAAAGCUCCGGCGGUCAGAGAUGGGCAUGCGUUCCAUUAGUUAGUUGGUGAGGUAACGGCUCACCAAGACCACGAUGGAUAGGGGGUCUGAGAGGAUGAUCCCCCACACUGGUACUGAGACACGGACCAGACUCCUACGGGAGGCAGCAGUAGGGAAUAUUGGACAAUGGGCGAAAGCCUGAUCCAGCCAUGCCGCGUGCAGGAUGACUGCCCUAUGGGUUGUAAACUGCUUUUAUAUAGGAAGAAACCCUCGUACGUGUACGGGGCUGACGGUACUAUAAGAAUAAGGAUCGGCUAACUCCGUGCCAGCGGCCGCGGUAAUACGGAGGAUCCAAGCGUUGUCCGGAUUUAUUGGGUUUAAAGGGUACGUAGGCGGAACGAUAAGUCAGUGGUGAAAGCCUGCAGCUUAACUGCAGAACUGCCAUUGAAACUGCCGUUCUUGAGUUCGGUCGAGGUGGAUGGAAUAUAUCAUGUAGCGGUGAAAUGCUUAGAUAUGAUAUAGAACACCGAUUGCGAAGGCAGUCCACUAGUCCGACACUGACGCUGAGGUACGAAAGCAUGGGUAUCGAACAGGAUUAGAUACCCUGGUAGUCCAUGCUGUAAACGAUGAACACUCGAUGUUGGCGAUACACUGUCAGCGUCCAAGCGAAAGCAUUAAGUGUUCCACCUGGGGAGUACGAUCGCAAGGUUGAAACUCAAGGAAUUGAC
This 876-nucleotide ribosomal RNA is filed under the name uncultured Bacteroidota bacterium. RNAcentral describes it as "bacterial SSU rRNA". It matches the Rfam family "Bacterial small subunit ribosomal RNA", at positions 39 to 914 of the family's 1533-position model. Lineage: Bacteria; Pseudomonadati; Bacteroidota. The record is from RNAcentral.